Molecule: long non-coding RNA, 696 nt
Filed under: Salmo salar (Atlantic salmon)
Lineage: Eukaryota; Metazoa; Chordata; Actinopteri; Salmoniformes; Salmonidae
Description: lncRNA (ENSSSAG00000113810.1)
Source: RNAcentral
CUGACCAGUAACAGGGGUUAUUUGUUAUUGUAGUUUGGUCAGGACGUGGCAGGGGGUGUUUGUUUUAUGUGGUUCGGGCUAUGUAUUUAGGUAGAGGGGUGUUUGGUUUAUGUGGUUCGGGCUAUGUAUUUAGGUAGAGGGGUGUUUGGUUUAUGUGGUUCGGGCUAUGUAUUUAGGUAGAGGGGUGUUUGGUUUAUGUGGUUCGGGCUAUGUAUUUAGGUAGAGGGGUGUUUGUUUUAUGUGGUUCGGGCUAUGUAUUUAGGUAGAGGGGUGUUUGGUUUAUGUGGUUCGGGCUAUGUAUUUAGGUAGAGGGGUGUUUGGUUUAUGUGGUUCGGGCUAUGUAUUUAGGUAGAGGGGUGUUUGGUUUAUGUGGUUCGGGCUAUGUAUUUAGGUAGAGGGGUGUUUGUUUUAUGUGGUUCGGGCUAUGUAUUUAGGUAGAGGGGUGUUUGGUUUAUGUGGUUCGGGCUAUGUAUUUAGGUAGAGGGGUGUUUGUUUUAUGUGGUUCGGGCUAUGUAUUUAGGUAGAGGGGUGUUUGGUUUAUGUGGUCCGGGGUUUGUUAGUCUAUGUUCUAUGUUAGUGUAUUUCUAUGUUCUGUCUUGUCUAUUGUAGUUCUAUGUUUAGUUAAUUGGGGUUGGACCUUCAAUUGGAGUCAGCUGGUUAUCGUUGCCUCUGAUUGAAGGUCCUAUAAUUAGGAGU